Molecule: ribosomal RNA, 200 nt
Filed under: uncultured bacterium
Lineage: Bacteria
Description: partial 16S ribosomal RNA
Rfam family: Bacterial small subunit ribosomal RNA
Source: RNAcentral
AUUGAACGCUGGCGGCGUGCUUAACACAUGCAAGUCGUGCGGUAACAGGCGUAGCAAUACGUGCUGACGAGCGGCGAACGGGUGCGUAAUACAUGGGAAUCUGCCUUUUAGUGGGGAAUAACCCGGCGAAAGCCGGGCUAAUGCCGCAUAAGAUCUUCGGAUGAAAGCGGGGAGUCGUAAACCUACGCGCUGAUAGAUGA